GACCUCGGAUCAGGUAGGAAUACCCGCUGAACUUAAGCAUAUA
RNAcentral lists this ribosomal RNA (43 nucleotides) under Colletotrichum tanaceti. Its description in RNAcentral is "partial 28S ribosomal RNA". The record is from RNAcentral. Lineage: Eukaryota; Fungi; Ascomycota; Sordariomycetes; Glomerellales; Glomerellaceae.